This 72-nucleotide transfer RNA is filed under the name Ovis aries (sheep). It matches the Rfam family "tRNA". Rfam says of the family: Transfer RNA (tRNA) molecules are approximately 80 nucleotides in length. Their secondary structure includes four short double-helical elements and three loops (D, anti-codon, and T loops). The record is from Rfam by way of RNAcentral. Lineage: Eukaryota; Metazoa; Chordata; Mammalia; Artiodactyla; Bovidae.
UCCCUGGUGGCUCAGACGGUAAAGCGUCUGCCUGCAAUGCGGGAGACCCGGGUUCGAUCCCUGGUUCAGGAA